AGAAGGAGUUUGAAUGUAUAUGGUCACUACAUGUCUCGGAAAGGUUAUGCCAACCUGGAACAAGAAAUUUCUGGUGGUGAUCCAGAAAUUGAGAUAGACCGGUCAAGCACAUGGCUUCGUGCACGGUGCGAUAAAGCUGGAAAUUAUAAGACAGAUAAAAUUAAGACCAUUGCUGAAGAUAUUGUGAAGAUGAAGCAGAAAGUUCAUGAAGGGGAUGUGAUAGAGUUAGGCACAGAUGAUGUGUUGACCAAAGUUCUUGGGAAUCCUGAGCAC
Long non-coding RNA from Daucus carota subsp. sativus, 273 nucleotides. RefSeq lists it as uncharacterized. The record is from RefSeq and is a predicted model, not a curated record. The transcript is spliced from 3 exons. NCBI's taxonomy places the organism in Eukaryota, Viridiplantae, Streptophyta, Magnoliopsida, Apiales, Apiaceae.